CAUACUUAAGCCUGUCCAUGUCUCACUGACUUACUCUCUCAGUCAAUAUAGUGUUGGUUGGCUUAACCAUGGAACCUAUUCUGUUUGCUACAUCUAACUUUCUUUUCUCCCUAACAAGAAAGCCAGGAAGCCGGGGGCAUCAAGUAUCUGGUACAUUCAGUGACUUUCUUUUCUUUCCUUUUUUUUCGAUUUAGUAUUUUCUUAUGAAAGUAAUACAUGCUCAUCAUCAGUAAGUGGUUCAGAAUUGGGAGAACUCCCCAAUCCCAUCUCCUGCUAACAGUGUGCAAGGAAUACUUAUGUCAUGCAAUAGGGACAGAGGGUCACUCCUGCCGAUACCUUCUUUUGCAUCAUCUCACAUCUACCUGCCUCCUGGUUGGAUAAUCCUGAGCUAAUUACCUCACCCGUCUAAACUGCAGCUGUCAUGUAAGCAGGUAUUUUGGGGUUCACUCUCCUCAGCUCUUUCUUGUGGUCCAGCCAGAAUCAUGCCAGGUGUGGAACCUGGAAGUCCAGAAAGCAAAGUUUCUCACUGCUCUGAUACAGGUCCUCCUCCUUCAAAGGUGUGAUCUUCAGACCUAAGGGAGCACCUUGGUGUCCAUCUCCUCUUGCCUAGGCCUGCUCUUAGGAUAUUGGUUGUAUUGGUCCUAACCCUUCAUUUUACUGGGUGCACUUCUGAGAGUAGGCGAAGAGCUAACCAAACUAUAAAUCCCCGAUUGGGUGUUUCUUUUAAGAAUGAACAACUUAGGAACCCUUCUACCUUGUUUCUGGGGCCAAGGCUACUCUUCUCACAGGAGUAUUCCAGAGUUAUGUUUAAUUCUUAUAAAAUUAUGCUUCAGAAGCCAUAAUAAUGGGUGCCCACAGAUGAGGAUUUCUUAAGAUAAAGAUCCUGGGCUCUACCCCUUGAGACUGAAUCAGUAGAUCUGGGGUAAGGCCCAGAAUUUAUACUUUAAAAAAGCAACACACCAACUUCCAGUUUCCAGUCUGCAUGUGAGAAGCUUGGAAGUUGUCACUCUGCCCUAACAACAAGGAAAAAGCUCAACAGGCCAGGUGCAGUGGCUCUCAUCUGUAAUCCCAGCACUUUGGGAGGUUGAGGCGGUUAGCAUUUCUUGAGCCCAGGAGCUCAAGACAAGCCUGGGAAACAUGGUGAAACCCCAUUUCUACAAAAAAUUUAAAAAUUACCCUGGUGUGGUGGCGCACACCUGUAGUUGCAGCAACUUGGGAGGCUGAGGUGGAAGGAUCGCUUGAGCUCAGGAAUUCGAAGUUAUAGCGGUCCAUGAUAGCACCACUGCACUCGAGGCUGGGUGAGAGGGUAAGACCCUGAAACAAGCCUUUUUAGAUCUCUAAGAGAGGUUAGAGUACAGGGCCCUCUACAGCAGCUGGUGCCAUGUAGGAAGACGUUAACUGUAAUUGAUGAAUUGCUGGAGGCUGAGUGUGGAAAAGUCAAAAACUCUAGGGGAACACAGUCAUUAAGAGACCUCCCACAUUUCUGUGUUUUACCUUUUUUAGAAGCUCUACCACACCCCACAGUGAAUACUGGAGAAAAAUCCCCUCAUGCUUCUGCUAGGGGAAGGGGAAAAGAAACAUUUAAAAAUAUACCAGAACACUAUGUUCUUCUGAAUGUGGUCUGCCCUUAGGAGGAACUACUUCACCAGAGCCUAACCUUCAGGGGUUUUACCAACACCUAACUGAUCUGGAAGAAGGGAGACACUCAACUCUAAGUAAACUAGGAAUCAAGGGAAAUUUCCUCAACUCGAUUAAGAAUAUCUGUAAAAACAAACAAACAAAAACAAAAAACCAAACACCUUGUCGAUAAUGUCAUACUUAAUGAUGAGAAACUUGAAUUCUUCCCAUAAGAUCAGGAGCAAGGCAGUGUUUACUCUCUCCACUGCUUCUGAACAGCAGAUGAAAAAUUCUAGAUAAUACAGCAAGGAAAAGAAAUUAAAGAUACAGAUUGGGAGGGAAAUAAUAAAACUGUCUUUGUUUGCAAAUGACAUGAUUGUCUAUGAAGAACAUCUGAAAAAAAUUGGCAGAAAAGUCUCCUGGAACCAAUAAGUAAUUAUGGGAAUGUUGAGGAAUACUAGGUUAAUAUACAAAAG
RNAcentral lists this long non-coding RNA (2093 nucleotides) under Callithrix jacchus (white-tufted-ear marmoset). Its description in RNAcentral is "lncRNA (ENSCJAG00000071571.1)". Lineage: Eukaryota; Metazoa; Chordata; Mammalia; Primates; Cebidae. The record is from RNAcentral.